GACGUAGGGCGCAAGCGUUGUCCGGAUUUAUUGGGCGUAAAGGGCGCGUAGGCGGCCUGUGCAAGUCAGUUGUGAAAUCUCCGAGCUUAACUCGGAACGGUCAACUGAUACUGCUCGGCUAGAGUGCGGAAGGGGCAACUGGAAUUCUUGGUGUAGCGGUGAAAUGCGUAGAUAUCAAGAGGAACACCUGCGGCGAAGGCGGGUUGCUGGGCCGACACUGACGCUGAGGCGCGAAAGCUAGGGGAGCGAACGGG
RNAcentral lists this ribosomal RNA (254 nucleotides) under uncultured bacterium. Its description in RNAcentral is "partial 16S ribosomal RNA". It matches the Rfam family "Bacterial small subunit ribosomal RNA", at positions 524 to 776 of the family's 1533-position model. The record is from RNAcentral.